GGGGAAGUAAAAAUCGUAACAAGGUUUCCGUAGGUGAACCUGCGGAAGGAUCAUUGUCGAUGCCUUACAUGCAGACCAACACGUGAAUCAGUUUGAACACAUAGGGUUGGUUUGAGGUGUUCAACACCUCGGCUUGCCUCUGGUUCGGAGGAGGACGAUGUUGUGCGUUCUCCUUUGUGCCAAAACACAAACCCCGGCGCUGAAUGCGUCAAGGAAUUUAAAAUUUGCUCUGAGCGCACCUGCAUGGCACCGGAGACGGUUUUCGUGCGGGUUGUGUUCUGACACAUAAUAUAGAAUGACUCUCGGCAACGGAUAUCUAGGCUCUUGCAUCGAUGAAGAACGUAGCGAAAUGCGAUACUUGGUGUGAAUUGCAGAAUCCCGUGAACCAUCGAGUCUUUGAACGCAAGUUGCGCCCGAUGCCAUUAGGUUGAGGGCACGUCUGCCUGGGCGUCACAUAUCGAAGCCUCUCGCCAAUUUCCUAUAUUGAUAGGGGUAUUGUGCAGGGCGAAUGUUGGCCUCCCGUGAGCUYUAUUGCCUCAUGGUUGGUUGAAAAUCGAGACCUUGGUAGGGUGUGCCAUGAUAGGUGGUGGCUGUGUUACGCACGAGACCAAGUAAGUCAUGUGCUGCUCUAUUGAAUUUAGGCCUCUUUUACCCACAUGCGUUUCGAAACGCUCGUGAUGAGACCUCAGGUCAGGCGGGGCUACCCGCUGAAUUUAAGCAUAUCAAUACGCCGCCAGGAAAGAA
RNAcentral lists this ribosomal RNA (744 nucleotides) under Trifolium repens (white clover). RNAcentral's name for it is "eukaryotic LSU rRNA". The record is from RNAcentral. Lineage: Eukaryota; Viridiplantae; Streptophyta; Magnoliopsida; Fabales; Fabaceae.